CCAGGUUUUAAUUUGAAUGUGUGAGAGGCGUAGAGUGUACGAUUUCUCCAGUUUGGUUGACCACGGAAUCCCUCUUUCUCCCCUGCUUUUAAAAAAAUGUGGCAUGUUUUAUUAUCUCUUUCUUUUCAACACAUUAUUUAGGAAACCCUGGACUAUGGAAUCAGCUGAAAUGAGAGCCAUGAGCUUUAUAUAACACUGAAAGCACCAUGGUUCUCUUUCUGUCAUUCAGAGCCAAACUUGCAGACUCCCAGAUUAAUAUGGUGGCUCAUAGCAGGUGCCUGAUUGCCUGAUUCAUCCGCUCCCAUCCUCCCAUUAAAACCCCAUUGAAGGCACAUGCAAAAUUGCAAAAUUGCAACUGCACCAGAAGCUAAGAAUACCAAUUAAUGCUUGGCCACAGUCUAGGAAGGAUUUCUGCCAAUAGCAGUGCAGAUGAGGACAGAUUGAGAAACUCUCAUUAGCUGAUGCACAAUGCGGCUUUGAGGCAGAGCACCGAGGUCAGAAAAGACGGAGCCAAGCCCAUCGCAGAGGCACCUCACAAGUGCCCAGGAGAAGCUGAGUACCAAACUCCAAGCAAGAUAGAGUUGCAUCCCUAGGCAAAGAGGGCCACUUCUUUAACCCCAACCACAACAGUCCUGCUAAUCUGUAUUUCUUAAAGAGUGCACCCCCCAAGCGAAGCAACCAGAGGUCCUUGGUCAUUAAAAUACUUUUCUUUUCCAGGCAGAAGGGGCAAGAGGAGACUCCACACUGAUAAACACCAGAAAUGUGGCUAAUGGUCCUCUCUCCUGCUAAAGAUCUGAGAAUUCUGUCAGCAACAGAGUGAACACUGAGGGGAUCGUGGGGCAUGUGCUAGACAUUUCUAUAGCCCAGCUCAAAAGUGUUAGGUGACUACAGAGUGAUUCUAAAUGCGGUCUAGGGAUAUCAUUUUAGCAGAUAUGAAGCCAGUCAAGAGAUGUCAGGUUUUGGACAGAUGGUGAAGAAUCUUAUAACUUACAGAUAAUAUUAGUACAAUUAAAAAUAGAAUAUAUAUCUUCCAAAUUGUAGAAAGAAAGUAAAAUGUAGUCUAUAGAGCAAAAGACAGAAAAUAACAGAAAAAUCAAACAUCCAUUAAAAAGAUACAGAGCAGAAAAAUAAGAUGGCAAAAGUAACAGCAAACAUAUUUU
Molecule: long non-coding RNA, 1160 nt
Filed under: Homo sapiens (human)
Lineage: Eukaryota; Metazoa; Chordata; Mammalia; Primates; Hominidae
Description: HSALNT0048928
Source: RNAcentral